UUAAGUAAGUCCAGUGCGCCAAUCAGUCAGAUAUUUGGUCAGCUUGAUAAUUCAUUAUUGUAGAUACCUUUUUUUUUAAAAUAAAGUCAAAACAUCACAACUUGAUAACCUUCUUUUUUAAACCUGUUCUUUUAAUAAGGACCGAUAAUUUAAAUUCCGCUCAUUCUAUUGUUUUUCAGCGAUACGAUACCAUGGUGGGGCACCUUCGCUUGUUAUUCUGUGUGAUACUUACAAUAUUCUUAAUGACCCAACAAGGGGCAUCCGAACUGUGCUGGAAAGACGAGGACUGUGAUUUAAAAUGCACCCAGGGUGACGAGGCGUACUGCAUGUGGAUUCAGUGCACCUGUGACACUGCUGGAAAAUGAUUCACCAAUUCGUUCAUUUUAAACCCACACAAUUUAAUUGAAGUUUAUGUAUACAAUUACAAUUACAAAGUUGGAUAAAAAAAUUACUUUUGAA
Long non-coding RNA from Photinus pyralis (common eastern firefly), 459 nucleotides. RefSeq lists it as uncharacterized. The transcript is spliced from 2 exons. Lineage: Eukaryota; Metazoa; Arthropoda; Insecta; Coleoptera; Lampyridae. The record is from RefSeq and is a predicted model, not a curated record.